UGCACCUAAAUAUCAAAUAACUUUUAAUUCCCCCAGACGCUAAUGCAAAAGAUGCAGAACUAAAUAGGAGAUAAAAACGUUUUAUGGCUCUCUUGGUAUCUUCAUCGCAUACCACAAACACAGAAGAGGAUAGAAAAACCGACUUUACUUACGUUUUGGGAUAUGCUCUAAUUUUAAAAUGUCUACUCCAAGAUGACGUACCAGUACCACUAAACGAAGACGCCAGCAGGAAAAAAUCCUUUUGAAAUCUCCUGCAAUUCUUGACCGGACAACGAACAAAACCUUAGGAUCGCAGGAUGAGGGCACAUUCUCACUUUUAUGGAAUUUCAUCAAGAUAAUAAUUUAAUAU
This is a long non-coding RNA of Photinus pyralis (common eastern firefly), 349 nucleotides long. RefSeq lists it as uncharacterized. The transcript is spliced from 2 exons. Lineage: Eukaryota; Metazoa; Arthropoda; Insecta; Coleoptera; Lampyridae. The record is from RefSeq and is a predicted model, not a curated record.